Long non-coding RNA from Dermacentor andersoni, 2659 nucleotides. RefSeq lists it as uncharacterized. NCBI's taxonomy places the organism in Eukaryota, Metazoa, Arthropoda, Arachnida, Ixodida, Ixodidae. The record is from RefSeq and is a predicted model, not a curated record.
UAUAUUAUUAGAAUGUGAAGACGUCUACCCAGCGGUCGAUUUAGGCACCACUGGCCUCCUUGAAGCCCUUGGGUUCAGCGGGAGCAGUGGUAAAGCAAACAGGUCCGCAAUAGACAUUAGUAAGAGGCGAUUGGAGGAUUGGUGGAAGAAAAGUAGGGAAACGACAAAAGACGGAGACGAACAAAAGCACAGUUCGGAAUAAGGGAUGAGAAAGUUUGGACGUGGUAGUUCAUAGUGUUUUUUCUUUCUUUUUUCAUUGUUUAACCAAGGUAGGAUAUUAGGCAGUAUAGUAGGAAGAGCUUGGUGGCGCAACCCAGCGCCCCGUUGCAAAGGGGACGCUCAUAAUAUCCAUCCAUACGUCCAUCCGUUAGGAGUGGUGGACGAACCGGCUAAUGCGAAGUCAGCCGGCAUUUAUCGUGGCGUGUUGUAAAUGUUGUUAGUUUGCCGUAAAUAUCUCUUGAUUUGUACUCAAGAGUGGAGCAAGACCACAAGGAACAGAUUGACGCAUCGGGAGCGAAGAAGAGAAACGAUGGAUGGUUACGCUGCUUGGGUAUCGGCACGUUCGAUUUGGCAAAGUUCCGAAUUUGUCGCUGUGUGGUGUACGCUUGUGCGCUCGUCAUUUGCCGUCCUCGCGCGGGGAUAUUUGCGCUGGAUGUCUUUCACUUCGUGUGCAAAACUCUGCACUCUGUGGCAUCGAAGAAGUUGGCCUGUGUUUGUGUGCACGUAUGCGCUUCGACACGGAUAGCCUGCUUGCUCUCAAGGGGUGUUCAAGAGUCUACGCGCACUCGUAACUUGCUCAUGAGGUAAGCCCAUUUUAAUCUUAUUUGGUUUGCAUAACGUAGGUUUUAAAAUUAUAUGUGGUAAGCCGGUGUCGCGAAGAGAAAUAUUGUUUCAAAAGACCACUAAGCAACGUCUUAGGGCAGAAAUGCAUCAAUGGGGAAAGGGAUCACCCUAUCUUUUCAGAUCGAAUCCAGUGGUAGCGCGAUUGGCUCGAUCGCAAUUUCCGUGUGGUACUUCUAAGCUUUUCUCACUCGCGUUAAAAGCGUAGAAUAAAACGGCGUUCAGUUGCGCACUUGUAUUGGCGCUUGUAUUGGCUUGAGAGCAUACUGUAUCCGAUACAAGAACUUCUGCUAGAAUACGGAAAUAAACGCUCGAGGCAAUAGCAGUGGCUCACUACCUGUGAUCGUUACUUUCUUGCUUAGGUGCACGUUUUAAUUGUGACCAGAAAAAAAAGUUCUUCGCUCUGGCUGCUCUGCUGUGUUUCCUUGGUGCUACUUGUUGCGGUGCAGCAAGACGUGUUGCUUCGAAUGAUGUCUGGGCAGUCAAGGCAUUCGUGUUAGUAAGCAAGCAGUAAACGGUGUAUCAGUGCGAAAUAAUUUGGACAUACAAGAGAAGCGAAUGGUAUGAUCAUUGACUCUAUUUUUACGAAUAAUUCAGUUGUAUUACUAAAGCGGAGAGUGAAUAUGCAUGAAAGUGAAAUAGUAUUGAUACUCAGCAAAAACAAGGUAACUUAUCAUUACUAAUUAAUCCUGUUCUUUUACUGAAAGGCAAGUUGCUGUUGUUCUACUGGAGCUGAGAAGAGGUCUGCUGCCGGCAAUGGGUCCAUCUCUCUCAAGUUAUGGCAGUAUCAUAGCUCUCAAAGUUCAAAAAAGUAUAGCGAAAGCUGUUGCCAAGGUUCCGACCGGAAAAAAAGCCAGUAUGAAAAGGUCCACACCACUGAUCUUUACUACAUGUGAUGGACAGCACAUCGAGCGCCCUCGACUGAAGCCAACCUUGUCCCGAAAGUUGGUGCUUCACUACUUUGCAGCAGCACUUCGUUUGCACGGCCUGUGGAGAACAAGGUUUCUUAGACAUGGCCAUGGCCCUCAAGGAAGAUGCCGAGGCCACACGCAGUUCUUCCAGUGACCGUGAAAAGGUCCCCUGGGCACAAGUCUAAAUUGGCACCCCCACCUUUCUCCUGCAGCUUUUCUGUCUACUUAGCUAACCAGCAGCAAGUUAAUCCUUGCAAGCGUUUGGGGUCAAGAACAACCUCCACCAGGAAAAAGUGCAAGACGAGUGAUUGAAGAAAAUAAAGUUGCUUGUGUCAUCUAAGAACUUGAGCACUGAAAUGCUGCACCUUUUUGUAUAUAUACUAUGCAAUGCAUUCAUAUCACAAAGUGCAAGGUGUUUUAUCUCUGCAGCCAUGUCAGUGUGUUGGCAAGACAAUUUUCUCAAUGGUGACCUGCUGCUUCGGCUAUGCGCUGCCUUCAUGACAUUUGUAUUAAAGGAGAUGUACUAUCGUGGACAAAAGUACCCUGGAAGUGCGAGCAUCGACCAAAUUGAAUUUCUGUUCAAGACCGCUGAAAACAGUGGGUCACGUAUGCACAUUCCGAACGCAGAUGCUAGCACAGCUGAUCCCAGCAAAUAGUGCACCAAUAAAGUUCGGUCGACUCUCGCACGUCGUGGACAAUUUUGUCCCCGAUGGCACAUUCUCCGAACAACGGAUAUGCUCUGCAAGAGGAAAUACGGGAAGCACCUGUACUUUAACGGAUAUAGUACAGAUAUUUCCUUUCAAUCGGUUUAUACUUUUUUUCACACACGCAGGUGAUUGUGUAUUUUGCAUACUUGUUUUUAUACUAAUGUUUUGUUUGACUUUGUAUUUGCUAUCGUGACAGAGGUG